RNAcentral lists this long non-coding RNA (35629 nucleotides) under Cicer arietinum (chickpea). Its description in RNAcentral is "long non-coding RNA (CARI_LNC003235)". The record is from RNAcentral. Lineage: Eukaryota; Viridiplantae; Streptophyta; Magnoliopsida; Fabales; Fabaceae.
AAUUAAUGAAAUAAUUUAUUAAAAAAUUUAGGGUGUUACAUAUUCUCCUUUUUGGGAUUAUUUUCUCUUUUUGCCUUUGCCUUUUCCCUCAUUGUCUUUUCAUAAGCUCUUCGCCAUGUAUCAACUCUAUGCCAUGCCCUAAAUAAUCGCAUUACUUCCUUUUCCUUUCGCUUCCUUUUAGAAGCUAUUUCCCUUGCCUUUGCUUUUGCUUUCUUUGCCAAAGCUAUUUCCUUCUGCUUUGCUUCCUUUGCCAAAUCUUUUUCCUUCUGCUUUGCAUCCUUUUCUUUCUGCUUUGCUUCCUUUGCCAAAUCUUUUUCCUUCUGCUUUGCAUCCUUUUCUUUCUGCUUUGCUUCCUUUGCCAAAUCUUUUUCCUUCUGCUUUGCAUCCUUUUCUUUCUGCUUUGCUUCCUUUUCCAUCAUCCUUUCUUCCCUUGUUUUAUUUCCCGCACCAACAGGCUUAUUUUGAUCAAAAGAUUCUAUAUCUAUGGGUUUUUGCCCACCAUCAAGCUUAUCGACCAAAACAUUUUUCUUUGACUCUUUUGUAUAUUGUUUACCUUCUUUUAAUGUCUCUGUUGCCACAACAGAUAAAAGAAACAAUGCACAAAGGAAACACAAAUUAAAAGCUUUGAUUUUCAUCAUUGCUACAAUUUCUAAGAAUUUAAUUGUUGUGAAACAUAUGAAUAUAUUCGGCAACAUAAAUAGGUAUGAAAAUCAAAAGUAGAUUUAUUAAAUAAUAUAUUAUUUAAUUGGCUUUCGAGAAUAUUGAGCCAUUGAAGGGUUAUUGAGGUAGGUAAAGUGUUUAAACUUUUACAACUACGAGGUUGCUAGAUAAUUUCUUUAAUAAUACACAUAAUUCUAGCCUUUUGGUGAGCAUAAUUAUCAAACGUUGUCAAUAAAAAAUAGUUAUUGACACGAAAAAUUACUCUUUUAAAUUUUUCUCAAUUUCCUUUUAUGUCUAUAAGUUUUAUUUAUUUAUUUUUUAUUUAGUCAUUAAAUUUAUCUCAUUAGCACCUUAACUUUUAAGUUAUAAUCCAUGAUUGAUAAAAUUGAAGCCAUGAUUGAUAAAAUUGAGUUAAAAGUUUCAAAAAUGUUAUCUUUUAAGUUAUAAGUUCUGAUGAAAAUGAGUCAUGAUCGAUAAAAUUAAAACCAAAAAUAGAUUCAGUGGCCGAUUUUGUGUGGGACAGUGGUUGAGAUAGAUUUAAAUGACAAAUAAUUGUUGGGAGUGAAUUUGAGAGAAAAAAGAUUUGCUGCAAUUUGGUUGCCAUUAAUCUGAUUUUCAAUUUUUAUUGUUUUAAUUGCAGAAGGAGAGGUUGCAGAUAGCAGAUGUAUAGAAAAAAAGUAAAACUGUAAGACCCAACACAGGGUAGUAAAGUCUGAGGCAGAAAUAGGAGUGUAAUAAACAACUCGCAACAGCGCAUUCUACUCUGCACCUCCACAUUUAAACCUGUCACCCCUAACCAACGUGAAAAAUACAAUUUUUCCCUUCAACCUUUUUAAUUUUUCAUUUUUGCACCGCUCAUUCUAGAAUAUUUGAAUGUUUGGACAUGUCAAUUUCUAAAAUUUUCGAAACUUUAGAACAAUUCGAAAUAGAAAAUUCCAAAAUUUCUGAAACUUUCAAACAAUUCAAAACUUUCGAAAUUUUCCAGAUUUGGAAACUUUUGAAAGACUCCAAAUUUUUGAAACGUAACCCUUAUUUUGAAAAUUUCCAAAUAUGGAAACUUUCGAAACUUUCCAAAUUUUAAAAAUGUAAUCCUUAUUUCGAAAAUUUUAAAAUUCCGAAAGUUUCAAAACUUCUGAAACUAUCAAUUUUAAAACUUAUGAUAAACGGUUAAAAGGGUAAAACUGUUUUUCCAUGUGUCUUGAGGGGUGGCAAGUUUAGAUAUAGGGGUGCAUGGUAGAAUUAUCCUCGCACUAGUAAUAGCGCAAAUUAAUAUGCAGAAGUAGAAAAUAAGGAUGUAAACAGUUGUCUGAUCAAAAAUUCAUUUUCUAGUAUUUCUAAAAGUCAUUAAUAAAUAAUUUAUUUUAUUUAUCUACGCUAGAAACGUUUUCUCCAAAACACUCAUUUUAACAUAAUAUUAUAUUUCCUUAACAUAGAUAAAUCUAUAUUUUAAUCAAAAUUGUGAUGAUCACAAUAAUAACUAUAGUUAUUACUAUAAUAUUUUUCAAAUUAAUCACAUAAAAUGCAUCAUCUUUAUAGAAUAGUUGAAAUGAUCAAAUAAAUAAAUAUAACAUCAACAAUUUAUAAUAAUUACUAAAUCAAAAUAAAUAUUUAAAAAUCAUCAUACCGUAACAACUACAUAAAAAUAGAGAAAAUCAAUAUCAAUAUUACUAAUGUCUCAAAAUAAUUUUUUAUAAAAUAAUUAAUUAAAAUAUGAUAUAUUUAAAAAUUAAAUAUAAUUAUGUGCACACUUAACACUAGUCAACAUACAAGGAUACAUCAAAUUAAUUACAAAUGCAUAUAUGCACGUAGAAUCGUCUAAAAUCUUAGACUUUAAAAUGUGUAUACUAGAAUACUAUUAUUUUUAGAAAAAUAUAAAAAUAUAAUAUUUGAUAUCUAUAUCAAUCAUUUAGUUUAACAUGUACAAGAUUAAAACAUCAUAUAAAGACAAUUAAUCCUAAUUUUAAUGACUCAUUUAAGCACAAUAACAUGUCAAAAAUCAAUUAGCUUAGCAUUAUAAACAAACAUGACACAAUGAAUCAUUUAAACAAUUGCAUAUAAUAUUUCAAUCAUGAACAAAAUACCAUAAUUACUCACUAUAAAUUAUGAAGGAAAUAAGUCUUAUAGAUUUAGUAAUGAUAAACUUAUUACCUAAAGUUGAGUGAAGUGAAAUUUUGCCAAAUAGAUAGAUGAUUAACUGCAACUACUUUCUUAAACAAUAAUUUUUAAGUUUUAUUCUCUAAAAAAAAUUAAAUAAUAUUAUCAAUUUCUCAACAAGUUUCCCUUAUGUAAGAAAGAGAGAACAAUUUUUUAAUUAUUUCAUAUCCUUAUGAAUUUCAAAUAGAGGUACACAUAAGAAUUUGUAACAUGAGCAAUUUCUUAGAAAUCAAGAACUAGAGUACAUAAACAUAGUUAAAGAGGACAAAUAUUUUCUAGUUUUAGCCGCAAAAAAAAUUAAAUAAUAUUAUCAAUUUCUCAACAAGUUUCCCUUAAGUAAGAAAGAGAGAGCAAUUUUUCUAAUAGUUCAUACCCUUAUGAAUUUCAAAUAGAGAUACACAUAAGAAUUCGCAUAAUGAGCAAUUUCUUAAAAAUCAAGAACUAGAGUACAUAAACAUAGUGAAAGAGGACAAAUAUUUUCACCUAGUUUCAAAAUACACUCCAACCUAAUAUUCAUGUCACAUAAACUAUUAACAGUAGGGAUGUUCAAAAAAACCAAAAACUCAAGCAAACUGUCGAACCGAACCUAACCGAACUGGUUUUGAACUGAACUGGUUUAAGAACCGACCUGUUUUCGAACUGAUUUUUUAAAACUAGAACUGAAACAAACCGGUUUCAGUUCGAAAAAACCGAACCGAACCAGUUUUAGUUAAAAAAAACCGAAUCAAACUGGUUUUUAUUUCAAAAAACUUGAACCGAAUUUGUUUUUUUAGAAAUAGUUAGGGGUAAUUAUGUAAACUUUUGCCUAUAUGAACAAAAAAACUAACUUAAACCAGUUCGGUUUGGUUCAAAAUAAUAAACCGGUCACCACUUUUAUAAACAUGUUUGGUUCGAUUUUUUGAUCUGAAAACCGAUUCGGUUUGGUUUUUCCAAACUAUAAACCAAUUCGGUUCAAUUUUCAAACGGUUCUAGUUCAGAACUGAAUUUUGCCCACCCCUAAUUAACAACUCCAACACUGAUGUCACAUAAGACUCAUAGUCACUCAAUUUUUUUAUAAGACAUGAACAUGAUUUUCUUAAUAUAUUUCAAAAGAAAAUAUUUAACAAGUAUUCAUAACAAUAAUAAAAACAAGUUAGUGUUGCCUCUUUUAUUGACGAUAAGUCAUCGGGGUAGCUAGUCCAUCUUAGUCGUGUAGUCAACUAUUUAAGAUAAUCAUAAUUGUGGUCAUUCAAAUUCAAACAUGGGUAAUUAUCUUCAAAGUUGUCCAGGUGUAACACCCAAAUUUCUCAUUACCUUAUUUUAAAUAAUAUAAUGAUACAAUACUAUUUUUUUUAUGAGUGUUAAUAUGUGUCCUAAUUUCUUUAGGUGUGUCUUGUGUGUUGUCUUAGUAAUUGAUUUAAUUCAUCAAUAGUAACUAUAUUCAACUUAUAAAAAUAAAUAAAAUAAAAUAUGUAUACAUAUAUAUGUAUGUAUAAAAUAAUACGAUGAGUAAAAUUGUGUCGUUACAUUAGUUGUUACCUUUAGCACUAAUAGAAUGGGAUAAUAAUAAUAAUAAUAAUAAUAAUAAUAAUAAUAAUAAUAAUAAUAAUAAUAAUAAUAAUAAUAAUAAUAAUAAAACCUAGGCUAGUAUACUAUAAGUAUAUAUAUAUAUAUAUAUAUAUAUAGAUCAGCACAAGGUGGUUACGGGAAAGCAAAAAAAUUAGGGAAAGUAAAAAUUAGGGAAAGCAAGAAUUAAGGAAAGCAAAAAUUAGGGAAAGCAAAAGUAGCAACAGCCGCCUCCCAAGAUCAACCACAUUAGGUAUGCCUCCUUCUUCUCCCUUCAGACAAUUAGAAAUUCUUAAUACCCAUUUAAACGAGUAUCCUUCCUUUUAUAGCUAAUCCAAAAAUAGAUUAAUUUGACUAUUAUUUUGAUUAUUAUGUUGUUCAAUUUAAUUAAAAUAUUAACUUUAUGUAAAAAAAAAUUCUUUAGUUUGAAGAAUGUUAAAUUCACUCAAUAUAAUCUCUUUAAAUUUUUCAAUAAUAAUGAAAAACAAUAUUAGGGAGAAAUGUUUUGAUAUGGUUAUUACUCGCUAACGAAAUAAGAUACCGUAGCAUGAAAAUAAACAUGGAAUCAAGUUCAAGGUCAAAUUCAUUAAGCUACAAUAUUGUGAUUCAGGCCAAAUAAACAUAUUAGCUUUUAGAGGGUUGAUCUUUUCAUCCAUACAAGACAAGUACAUAUAACCUAAAAAUAAGAGCUUCAGGCAGCGUAAUCUGAAAUGAAUUGAUGUGGUUAUUAGGAAUUUUUAUUGAAUUGCUUUUUGAAUUGCCUUUUUGAAUUGCUCUAUAUGUAUAUCGUGAAACCAUGAAUUGCCCUAUAUGAAUAUCAUGAAUUGCCUUUUUGGUUAGAAGGAUUUUUAUUGUAUAUCAUGAAAUCUUCACUUGCAAAUGUAUUAGAGAGAGAGUUCUGCCAACUAGUUUAGAUUAUUCAAGGGUAUUUCUAACAAUAUUGAAUUUUGUUGUACCAUUAGUUGUACCAUUAUUUAUCUAGAUAAUUUAUUUAUUAUUUAUUUUAUUCACUUACUCAUUUAUUUAUUUAUUAUUUAUUUUAUUAUUNNNNNNNNNNNNNNNNNNNNNNNNNNNNNNNNNNNNNNNNNNNNNNNNNNNNNNNNNNNNNNNNNNNNNNNNNNNNNNNNNNNNNNNNNNNNNNNNNNNNNNNNNNNNNNNNNNNNNNNNNNNNNNNNNNNNNNNNNNNNNNNNNNNNNNNNNNNNNNNNNNNNNNNNNNNNNNNNNNNNNNNNNNNNNNNNNNNNNNNNNNNNNNNNNNNNNNNNNNNNNNNNNNNNNNNNNNNNNNNNNNNNNNNNNNNNNNNNNNNNNNNNNNNNNNNNNNNNNNNNNNNNNNNNNNNNNNNNNNNNNNNNNNNNNNNNNNNNNNNNNNNNNNNNNNNNNNNNNNNNNNNNNNNNNNNNNNNNNNNNNNNNNNNNNNNNNNNNNNNNNNNNNNNNNNNNNNNNNNNNNNNNNNNNNNNNNNNNNNNNNNNNNNNNNNNNNNNNNNNNNNNNNNNNNNNNNNNNNNNNNNNNNNNNNNNNNNNNNNNNNNNNNNNNNNNNNNNNNNNNNNNNNNNNNNNNNNNNNNNNNNNNNNNNNNNNNNNNNNNNNNNNNNNNNNNNNNNNNNNNNNNNNNNNNNNNNNNNNNNNNNNNNNNNNNNNNNUUUAUUAUUUAUUCAUUUACUUAUUCGUUUAUUUAUUAUUUAUUUUAUUUAUUCAUUUACUUAUUUAUUUAUUUAUUUAUUAUUUAUUCAUUCUUUAUUUAUUCGUUAUUAAUUUAUUAAUUAGUUUAUUAAAUAAUAAUAAUAAUAAUAAUAAUAAUAAUAAUAAUAAUAAUAAUAAUAAUAAUAAUAAUAAUAAUAAUAAUAAUAAUAAUAAUAAUAAUAAUAAUAAUAAUAAUAAUAAUGGAACCUUAGUUAUCCAUAUGCCAUAUAUAUACCACAACAUCUGGUGAUAGGUUAGAAUAGAAAGAACCUAGUGUAACAUAGCAGCAUAGCAGCUGCCUUAUUCUAGCCUUAGUUCCAGCUACUCUAUUUCUUCCGUGGUUCUAACAACAAUACAACCAUUCAGCCUUGGUUUCUAACGACAAUACAACCAUAUAGCAGUACACUAGAGCAGUUAUAUUGGUCUUAAUCCCAUCGAUUGAUACAAUUUUGUUUGAAUAAAAAGAAGAGAGCCUAUGUUCCUAAUUCCAUUAAUUUAAUAUACUUUCCCAAUUACAUCAAUACAUGGCAUGUGUUCUUUUUAUUUUAAUUUUUUUUGUAAUGAUAAAUCCGCUUAUUAAUUAUGUUUAUUUAUUUAUUUAUUUUGGAAUACUAAUUAAUGAAAGUUGUUUAUUAGUUUUUGCAAAACCUUAAAAUACAUGUUUGUAACAAUAAAAUGAACAAUUGUAUGUAAAUAAUAUUAUUAUUGUAUUAUUUGGAUGUUGUCCAGAAGUGUUAAUUAAUUGGAAAAUUUCCUAUUUAUCUAUAUACAUAGUUUAAAUUUUAUUUCAAAAUAUAAGUUGAAAAUUAUAAUUUUUAUAGUGAUGAACUAUUUAAAAAUGUGUUUUUGAUGAUUAAAAUAUGAAUGAAUUUUUAGAAGUCUUAAAGAUUUUAAAAAUAUCUGUGAUUUAUUUUAUUUGUAUUGUAUUUAGAAACGUAAUUUAUCUUAGUUGUUUUUAUUUAGACUUGAAUUAUUGAAAACUAAUUUAAAGAAAAUUUGGAAUUCUCAAUGAAUUAUUUUUGGGUGCUAAAUGGUUAGUGAUAUUUUUUAAUAAUAAUUUAAGUUUACAAAUUAAAUUUUAGAAGGAUGUGUAACCUUGAAAGUGGUUUUUGCACUACCUGAUUCAAUUUGGUUUGGUAAUGUAUUAUAUCUUCUAGUAAAUAAUUAUUUAUCUUAUCUUCUACUUGGAAAAUCUAUAUAUGCUUCCAUUUGUUGUAACUUUUAAGUGAUGGUUAACUCAAAAGAAAAUUUAAUCGUGAUCAAUUUGGAGCAGUUAGACCUCUAUGAGAAUAUGUUUCAUUUUUUGAAUCAUCGUUUGAGUUAUGAGAUGAACGUAAAAUAUUGGUGCUAAUUUUUGGAUUAGUUAUUUGAAUGUGUAUAUGAUUAUGUAAAUAUUAAAUUGUCUGUGCUUCAAGUGUUCUAAUUGUUGGGAAUUGGUGUAUAGAGUUAGAGUAGUCGAGAGCAUCUAAAAGUGAAACAGUUCUAUAUUUCUUCAAUCGGAUUAUUGAUUAUAUAUUGAUACUAGUGUCAUUUCCUUGUUGUUGUAACUAGUUGUAAAUUACCAAUAAAUUAUUGUCAAUGUGUAAUUAAGUGAGUUUUUAACUUGAAGUAAGGAGUAGGAGUUGUGGCGCCGCCUUCGCACUCUUGAACCACGUUAAAGAUACUUUUAAUUAUCCAUAUUAGAAAUUGAAUGACUGUGGUUAUAGUUCCUUAAGUAGUUGACUACAUGAGUAGGAGGGACUAGCUACCCCGAUGACUCAUCGUCAAUAAAACAGAAAACGAUAACUCAUUAUUUUGUUAGAAGUACCUUUUAAUUUUAUUUUUAAAUAGUUAAAAAACAUGUUCGUCGUUUAUAUCAAUUGAAUGAAUUUAAUUAUUAAAUACAUGUUAUUAGGAAAUAGUAUCUCUAUAUUAGUUUUUUUUUCUCCUUGAUUAUAUACAGCGCAUGUUUUUAUAGAGUAAUUGAUUGUAAAUCUACUAUAAUAUUAUUAAGUUGUUAGAUGUAUUUAAUAUUUUAAAAAUAGCUCUCUUUGUCAGACCUAAGUUAACUUUGUUGAAUGUUUGAUGAUAGGAUUUAGGCUUUAUUUUAAGGAGUAAAACUAGUAAUAUUUGGUUUGAAAGAACUAGUUGAAAUUGACAACGUACUUGGAAUGUGUUUCAUUAAUUAAUCAAACUAAAUGAACUACGUUAUUAUUUGCAAAAUCUAUAUGUUAUGUUAUGUUUUAUAUGUAAAUUACAGUGACUAACUCUAUGGUAUUUUAUUUCGUAAUGGAUGAUAAAUGUGAUAUCUUAUUUCAUAAUUGAAUGAUAAAUGUUGUGUUUAAUUAAUUUAUUUUGUCAUGUUAUUCUAUCAUGCUAAUAUAGUUGAUUUUUUACAUGUUGUGCUUAAUUGGAGAUUGAAUGUCUAAAAUAUGGUUAUAGACUAAGUUUGAAUCUUGAGGGUGGUAAGUUGGAUAUUAGUUCACUCAUCGAAAAUUUUGAGGACGAAAUUCUUUAACAAGGGGAGAAUUGUAACACCCCAAAUUUUAUAAUAAACUAUUUUAUUAAUUAAAUAGAAUUUUAAAUAAUUAAUUUGAUGAUUAAUAUUAUUUUAGAAUAUAUGUUGAUAAAUUUUGUGGCUAAUUUUGGUUAUAUGAAUGCUUUUUGUGAUGUGCUAGUUUGAUACAUGUUAUAUUAAGUAGCGAUAUAAAUAAUAAAUAUUUUAUUUUAUAAUUUUAUAUGUUUUUCUAAAAAUAAUAGUAUUUUAGUGUAAUAUUUUAAAGAAUAAGAUUUUAUGCAAUUUUAAGUGUAUAUGUGAGUUCGUAAUUAAUGUGAUAUUUUCUUGUAUGUUUGAUUAUUUGUAAAGUGUGCACAUAUUUAUAUUUUAAUUAUUUCUAAGUAUCUCUUAUUUUAAUUAUUUACUUUAUAAAUAAUUAUCUUUAGAUAUUAGUAAUGGUGUGAUUGAGUUUCUUUAUUUUUAAAUAAUUGUUAUGGUAUGCUGAUUUUAUAUAUAUUUAUUAUGAUUUAGUAAUUAAUAUAAAAUAUUGAUGUUAUAUUUAUUUAUUUUAUAAUUUUGACUAUUUUCUAAUAUGAUGAUAUUAUUAUAAUGUGAGUAUUUUGAGAAAUAAAUAUGAUUGUAGAGAUUAUUUUGAAUGUGAGAGUUUUAAUUAUUAGUAAUAUGUUUUUUUAUAUUGAUUAUUUUAAUUACUCUAAUUUAGCAUAUAUUACUUAUGAAAUAUUAGUAAUGUUUUGAAAAUUUAAAAAUGUUUGGAAGAGUAUUAAAAAACUGAGAUUAAGUAACAAUUAAUUUUGUUUUAGCAAAAUAAAAAUAAUAAUAGUAAAACAUAAAUUAAAUAAAGGACAAAUGGGCUUGACCCAUUUAUGUUAACCCUAAUUAUGUUAAUAAAAUAAAAAUAAGAAAAGUAAGAAAGGAGUUGUAGCAGCCGUAUAAGCAAAGAGUAAACCCAUCAACAAGCCUAUUGUAUGGCACCGACGAUCAAUAACUAUUCCAGAAAAUUUUCUCCGUUCUCGUCCAAAUUUCAGUAUGUUGUUUUAUCCAUUUAGAUAGUCAAAUAAACAUACUUCCUCAUAUUUUUAACCAUUACAAUUUCUCUCUAAAAUACCCGACUUAUCCGUUUGUAGAAUUCGUUAUUUUGCACCGUUCUCCUUCACCGUAAGCCCGAUUUGAGUGAAACCAACGUCAAAACGACCGUGUGAAAAGUGGCUAUAUUUUCCACUAAUCGGUUUUCUGAUUUAUGGUAAUUUUACUUGACCGAAUUUCGAAUUUAGUUUUUAAAGUAUGUUCUCAUACUUUAUUUUUAACGUUUACCCAUAAACUGUCGAGUUAGAUCGAUUGAAAGACAAAGAGUCAAUGAACAAAGGCUGUUUGCUCGUGGAAUCAUAGUCGUGUAUGAAAGCGUCGAAAUAAGGUAAGGGGUGAGAGAACGUUUGAAUUCAUGAGUAUAAUAUAUUGUGAGAUGAACGGGAAAACCUUAUUUCCGAAUGAUUCAUCUGGGGAUCGCUACGUACGGCAGUAGCCCUUUGAGUGAUAAAUUAAUUAAUAUGCGAAAUAGAAAUUGUGAGAUUAAAAUAUGGAAUAGAAAUACUUAUAAGGUGUUGAUUGAUUCGUUAAAUCUGUGGUAUUUAAUAUUAUUGUGAUAUUUGAUUUAAUUUCGUUAAAUGUUGGGCAUUUGAUAUUAUUGUGAUAUUUGAUUUAAUUUCGUUAAAUGUGUGACAUUUGAUAUUAUUGUGAUGUUUGAUGUAUUAUCGUUAAAUGUGUGAUAUUUCAUAUUAUUGUGAUAUUGGAUGUCAAAUGAAUUUUAUGAAUAUGUUUGAUUACACAUGUUUAGGUGAUGUGAUAAUAAAAGGUGGAUGCAUUUUGAUAAGUUUUAUGUGAUUAUGAUGAUGUAUAAUUAAUAAUAAUGAUGUUAUAAAUUUGUGAUAAGUCUAUGUGAUGAUGUAUGAUUGAUGAGAUUGAUGUUAUAAGAUUGUGAUGAGUAUAUGUGAUGACGUGUGAUUAAUGAUAGUGAUGUUAUAAAUUGUGAUGAGAAUAGUGAUUCCAAUUUGUGUUUGAGAUGAAGGUCUUAAUGGAGUACCGUAGGCCAACGAGGGGAGAAAAUAAAUAUUGAGAAUUUUUGAAGUGGAGAUUAUUUUGUCAUCAUAUAGGUAGGGCCUGACAAGCCUAGUUAUUUCGGGGAAGUACAACUGAAUGAGCCUGAUCGUGGCGGUCUACUGUUGAGCCUUAAGGCAAGACUGUUAGACCUUGGAGGUAUUCGGGUGGGGAAUUCCUAGAUGACUUGGAGGUAGCACCCCAAAUGUCGGGAGCUACCACGCAACACACGUUUACCUCGACUGUUGCGUAUAUGUGUCUCGGGUUGAGUUGAGGGGAUCUAUGAGGACAUGACCAAUUGGAAUUGUCCGUCCACUAGGAUGGUGGCAUCGUAUCAAGCCUCCUAACCAAGUACUUCAGAGUUAGAAUGGUACCACAUUGUGAAGUAGAGUCUAAGCUCAUGCAUAGCAUUGCAUUUCCUUGUGAUUGUUUCGUUGUGAUUGAUGUGUUUCAAAAGUAAUAAUAAUUACUCUUAGAUGAUUUGAUGCAUAUUAUAAUGAGAUGAUUAUUUUACUUGAGUGAAUUUGAUGUUAUAAUAUGAUAUUAUUUACUUAAAUAUUUUGAUAUAUCGUAAUGUGAUUAUGAUACGGUCUAUUAUGAUUGUUGCGUGUUCUUCUUACUUAUGUUAUACUAUUAACAUGAUUUCGAAACUCACCUCCUUCGUUGGUUGUGUUUGACUGGCUUGGCCCUGCAUUUGCGAAAUCACAGUUGUUAUAGGUUAAUGAGUCUUGAAGUUCAUGUUUGGGAGGAACCCCGCUCUAAUAGGUGAUACCGGGAAUAAGGGUUGUAAUUGGUAUUUUACUUAUUUAUUUUGAAACGACUUUUGUAUGAAAACCAUAUAAGUACUAGUAAGUUUUUAGAAUUAAAUCAAGUAAUGAUACUUAAAUCAAGCUUAUUGAGAUUGCACUAUGGAGUAAAGAAGUUUAGAGUGUUCCUUUUGAUUUUUGAGAAACGUGAUAUCCUAAAUUAAAAAUUAAAGUUUUUAUUUUCUUGAAAACAUAUUUUUAUUUAUUCGCUGCAAAAACUUUGUAGAAAUAUGAUAUUAAUUAUUAUAUAUAUUAUUUUUGGGGUUUAGGGUAUCACAUUAGUGGUAUCAGAGCUCAAUUGGUAGUGGGAUCUUUGAGGAGGCGGUACUUAUCCCUAGGUANNNNNNNNNNGGGGGGGGGCGAGAAGAUCGUGAAGUAACACAGCCGGUAAUGCUGGAGGGCCGGGGUGUUACAAAGCAUUCUACCCUGUACCUCCACAUUUAAACCUGUCACCCCCAACCAACGUGAAAAAUACAAUUUUUCCCUUCGAUCUGUUUAAUAACUCUGGAGGGCCGGGGUGUUACAGAGCAUUCUAUCCUGUACCUCCAUAUUUAAACCUGUCACCCCCAACCAACAUGAAAAUUUGAAACGUAAUCCUUAUUUUGAAAAUUUCCAAAUUUGGAAACUUUCGAAACAUUCCAAAUUUUAAAAAUGUAAUCCUUAUUUCGAAAAUUUUAAAAUUCAGAAAGUUUCAAAAUUUGAAACUUCUGAAACUAUCAAUUUUGAAACUUAUGAUAAAUGGUUAAAAGGGUAAAAUUGUAUUUCCAUGUGUCUUGAGGGGUGACAAGUUUAGGUAUGGGGGUGCAUGGUAGAAAUGUCCUCACAGAAAAGUCCAACCUGUAAUAGCGCAAAUUAAUAUGCAGAAGUAGAAAAUAAGGGUGUAAACAGUUGUCUGGUCUAAAAUUCAUUUUUAGUAUUUCUAAAAGUCAUUAACAAGUAAUUUAUUUAAUUUAUCUACGCUAGAAACGUUUUCUCCAAAACACUCAUUUUAACAUAGAUAAAUCUAAUUUUAAUCAUAAUAUCAAUAUAACUAAUGUCUCAAGAUAAUUUUUUAUAAAAUAAUUAAUUAAAAUAAGAUAUACUUAAAAAUAAUUAAAUAUAAUUAUGUACACACUUAACAUUAGUCAACAUACAAGGAUACAUCAAAUUAACUACAAAUGCAUAUAUGCACGUAGAAUCGCCUAAAAUCUUAAACUUUAAAAUGUGUACACUAAAAUACUAUUAUUUUUAGAAAAAUAUAAAAAAUAUAAUAUUUGAUAUCUAUAUCAAUCAUUUAGUUUAACAUGUACAAGAUUAAAACAUCAUAUAAAGAAAAUUAAUCUUAAAUUUAAUUAACAUAUAUUAUAAAUUUCAUUACUCAUUUAAGCACAACAUGUCAAAAAUCAAUUAGUUUAGCAUUAUAAACUAACAUGACAUAAUGAAUCAUUUAAACAAUUGCAUAUAAUAUUUCAAUCAUGAGCGAAAUACCAUAAUUACUCACUAUAAAUUACGAAGGAAAUAAGUCUUAUAGAUUUAGUAAUGAUAAACAUAUUACCUAAAGUUGAGUGAAGCAAAAUUAUGCCGAAUAGAUGGUUAACUCCAACUAAUUUCUCAAACAAUAAUUUUUAAGUUUUACUCUCUAAAAAAGUAUCUUCAAAGUUGUCCAAGAGUGCGGAAGCGACACCAUAACUAAUAGUUCUACUUCAAGUUAAAAAUUCACUUAAUCACACAUUCAUAAUAAUUUAUUUGUAACCUACGAGUAGUAACAAAGACACUGCAUCAAUAUAUAAUUAAUAAUUUGAUAAAAAAAAUAUAGAACUAUUUCACCUUUAGAUGCUCUCGACUACUCUUACUCUAUACACUAAUACCCAAUAAAUAGAACACUUGAAAAACAAACAAUUUAAUAUUUAGAUAAUCGUAUACACCAUCACAUAAUUAAUCCAAAAAUUAUCAUCAAGAUUUGUUCAUCUCAUAACUCAAACGAUGAUUCUCACUUAUGUAACAUACUCUCAUGGAAGACUAACUGUUCCAAAUUGAUCACGACUAAAUUUUCUUUUGAAUUAAUCCUCAUCAUUUAAAAGUCACAACAAAGUAAAGGAAAUAUUUUCCAAAUAGUGAAAUAAUUAUUUACCAAAAGAUUCAACACGCUAUCAAACCAAAUUGAAUCACGUAGUGCAUAAACCACUUUAAAGGUUACAUGUAAUUCUAAAAAUUGAUUUCUACACUUAAAUUAUUAUAAAAUGUAUCACUAAUCAUUUAGCACAAAAAAAAAAAAUCAUUGAGAGUUCAAAGUUUUUUUCUUAAACUAUUUUUCAAUAAAUCACGUCUAAAUAAAAAAAAAACUAAAAUAAAUUACGUGUAUUAUAAAAAUCUAUAAGAUUUCUAAAAUUUCACUUGUAUUUUGAUGAUCGAAAACACAUUUUAUAUAAAUAAUCACUAUAAAAUAAUUAUUUUCAACUUAUAUUUUGAAAGAAAAUUUAAACUAUAUAUAUAUAUAUACCUAUAUAUACUAAAGUAGUGCACAUGACACAACUCAUAAGACAUAUUUGGUUAUGAUAAUGAAUUACACCAAUUGACAAAUCUACAAAAUAACUUCCUCUCACAUCAAGUACUCAAUAGCCUUAUAGAUACAUCUCGAGUUUCUAUCAAGCUAUAAAAUUGAUCUAAAACAAAACACACUAUCAAUUUUAAAGAUUUUAGAGGUCCGUUUUAAUCUUAAAAAUUGGAUCCCUAAUAAUAAAAUACAAUUUUAUACAAAUUUCUACUAAAAAAAAACGUUCUACUCAUAAAAUAAAUUGAUUAUCCAAAUUUUAGAUAAUUUUUCAAAAGGAGUUUAACUAUUGAGAUAAUUGUUUUAAAAUCUUGGUUUUAUUUUUCUUCUCUUUUUCAAUUAGUAGACAUUUUAUCAUUUUACUUUUUUUAUUAACACAAUUAUAAAUUAAUUAUGAAUUCUUCAAAUCUAAACUUCAAGUUAAACUCUAACUAAUUCACAAAAUUAGAAUAAAAAAUCAAUUAUUUCAAAUAAAUAUUCCGACAUUCUCAGGAUCCAAUAUUUACACGAGGUCAUUCUAAACCAUGUGAACAACAAUUUUUUUUUUUCUUAAAAAUAACACAUAAUAAAAUAUGGUGUAAAUUUUCAGCUAUUUUAAACAUUAAAUAAAAUCAAGAGUAUAGAAUUAUUAUUAUUUUAUAAAUCAACAAAAAUUCAACUUAAUGUAAUUUUUUUAAAUAAUAAAAAAUAAUUCAAAUAAAAGUUAUUUUCAUUCUACAAAAUAAGCCAAAUGUAACUCCUGUCGAUUUUUUUUUUGUAUUCUAAAAACUCAUAACAACGUUCUAAAUUAAUUUCGAUAAAAUUUUUAAUAAUCAUGUUAUGCUAUGAACCCAAAAGCAAGAUCUAUAAUCGAUAAUUAAUAUUACCUCAAUUAAAUUAAUAAUUUCAGAGAUAUAGCUAGUCAAUAAAAAAAUUAUUUCUAACUACCACUCUAACAAAUUACAGGAAAAAACUCAUUUUGAUUCUUUAAUUCUGACCCAUCUCUCUUAUUAACCCAUUAUGUUUUUAAUUUUUUGAAUUGCUUUUGUUUUAUCUGUUAAUCUUUUUUUAUUAUUUUCUUCUAGAUCUCUUUUGAAAUAUAUAAUGGGGUUUCUUUUUUUUUUUUUAACAAAAUUAUUUUUAAUUUAUGUUGAAAUAAUUAAUUCGUCGUUUUGAAUUUUUUUUGUAAUUCAUAUGUUCAAUGUUUUGAAUUUUAUUCUAAAAUCAUGUAUUUUUAUAAUUUAUCAUGCCAAACACUACAUCAUAACAACCACCACGUGACAUUAUUUUAAUGAAAUUACUAUAAAAAAAACGACAUUAAUGUAAACGAAGUAUAUAUAUGAAUUAUAAAUAUAUACUACUGAAAUGAAAUAUAAACAAAAUAAAAAAUAAAAAUUGAUGUAAUUUAUUUGAACUUUUAACAGCAUAAAUCAACUUUUUAUAAUAUUUGUAUUUGUAUUUUAUUUAAAAUGGACUACAGUAUAUUGUAUAAAUAAUUAUACCAAAAAUAUAUAGCUUAAAUUUUUAUUGCUUUUGAGAAUUAAACAGUUUAUUAUAAAAACCAUUAGCAUAACAGUAAUAUAUAAUUGGUUACUAAGGAAAUUGAUCUAAAUACAAUAAAUUUUUAUUUAGGUAUCAAUAUCAACAAAAUAAAAUAGACAAGUAUAGAAAAAGUAAAAUAGUAAUAUUCAAUUUUCAUCGACAAUAAAAUUUUUUUUUGAGAUUUAAUCUAAUUAAAUACAAAUCUAGAAAGAAUACCAUAAAUAAAAAUGCAAAAGAACCACAUGGUUUAAAGAAAAAAAUGUAACAAAAUCAUUUUAUUUUUGAAUGUUUCAAAUAACUACCUCAAUUAUAUUAUGAUGGAAUUAAAAGAUGCAUUAUGUUAGAAAUCAAAUUAACAAAAAUAUCAUAAAAAAGGCACAUAUGCCAUUGUAAUUUGAAAUAUAAUGGUUAAUAACGUUUAUCAAGUGACCAUUUUAUAAAAUUCUCACGUCAAUAAAUUUAAUUAUCAUAUAACUGUGUUUCGAGUGAGAAAAAAAUAAUAUACAUCCAAAAUUAAUUGCUACUUUGAGAGAAAUAGUAAUAUAGAAGGUGGUAUGAUAGAUGUAAUAUUAUGAUAAUGAUUGAAAAAGAAAUAGAGAGAAAAAGAAGUAUUAAACAUAUGUAUAAAAAUUAAAGUUCUGUGAACAUAAAAGUUGACAAAAAAAAAAAUAUAUAAGUUUAUAAAAUCUAAUGUGUGCCACCACAAGUCCAUCAAAAUAAAUUGCUGAAUUACAUAAAAAAAAAACGUUUUAAUUAUUCAUUAAUCGUGAUAUACUAUUUUAUUACAUAAAACUCAAAAAUUAUUAUACGUUAAAUCUAAAAGAGUACGAUUAAAUAAAAUAAAAAAGAGUACCAUUACGGCAUGCAUGUACAUGUUCUAACAUUAGUAACGCAUAGCUAAUAUAUACACAUUUCAGAUAAAAUCUGUUAGAAAAGAAUAAACCAAGUUCAAAUAAAAACUUCAACAACUGGUCUGAAAUUGAGAAUUUUAGCAAUAUUAUUUCCUCUUAUAUCAACUUGGAACUUGAUCGCACACUUCUACUUUCUUAUAUUUACAUAAUAAUUGGGAAUUUUUUUUUAUUAUAAGACAAUUUUUUAUUACAAAAAAGUCAUUUAUAAUGAAACAAUUUUUUUAUGAAUUAAAUAUUCUGUGGGGCUAGUAGUGUACACGAUAAAAAGUAAUUUUUAUAUCAAAAAUUGUAACAUCAAAUUCCAAAGCCAUUAAUCUAAAGAUAAUAAAAUUUUAAAAAUAAGAAUAAUCUAGAUCAUCAACUUCUAAAAGACCAAUCAAUAAUAAAUCCAAUAAUUAUAUCUAAGUGUUUUUGCUUUUAAUUUUGAAUAGUUUAUAUAGUUUAAACUUAAUUGUACACAUGUUACAGACACAACCACCGAUCAAUUACUACUAAAUGCAAUCUUUAUAAAUAAAUCAAAUACAAUAUUCCAAUUUCAAUAUCUUCAUGUUAAGAGUAAAACAUGGCUUAAAUAUUACAAUAUCUUCAUAUCUACAUAUAAAAAUCAUUUUAUCUCCGUAUUGUUUUUUUAAAAUCAAUUUAGGUAGAUUUAUUAGACAAACUACAAACAUAACUUAAAUAUAAGAAAAAAUAAUAAUGAGUACUCUAAAGGUAUUGAUUAAGAGAAUAAAUAUAGAAAUCUUUUAUGAGAAGUGUACCGCAAACAAACCUCAUUUAUCCAUAAUUAUUAUUAAAUACAUUUACUAUUUCCUAAGAAGAUGAAUCAAUGCAAAAACUACAACUAUUAAAUUAAUAACAUAUUAUAUUAACUAUAUUAAUCACAUUAUUUUUUAUAAUUUCAAAAUUAGCUUUAUUUAGGAGGAUAUAUUUUGCUUUAAUGACUUACCAAGUUUAUUCCUAAGAAGAUGAAUCAAUGCAAAAACUACAACUAUUAAAUUAAUAACAUAUUAUAUUAACUAUAUUAAUCACAUUAUUUUUUAUAAUUUCAAAAUUAGCUUUAUUUAGGAGAAUAUAUUUUGCUUUAAUGACUUACCAAGUUUAUAUAUAAAUAUAAUUAUACUACAAAUCAAACUCAUUUCUCCAUAAUAAUUAUUAAAUGCAACUACUAUUUUCAAGAAGAUCAAGAAAUGCAAAAACUAUAACUAUUGAAUUAAUUAGAUAUUAAAUUAAUAUAUUAUAUUUUAUAAUUCCAAAAAUACUGUUAUUUUAAGAGAUAAACUUUUAUUUCAAUUACUUACCAAUUUUUAUAUAAAUAAAGAUUCAACAAAAUAAAUAGGUAUGAAAAACAAAAAGAGAUUUGCUAAAUAUAUAUAGUGUUUAAUUGGCUGAUUCGAGAAUAACGAGCCAUCAAAACGCUUAUUGAGCCAUUGAAAGGUUAUUGAGGUAAGUAAUUUUUCUAAAUUUUGACAAUUCCCUGGCUAAGUUGUUUGAUAAUUUCUUUAAUCAUAAACAUAAUUCUAGAUUUUUAUAACAACAUAAUAUUCAUAUAUAAUCAAUAAAAAAUAGUUUUUUAUAGGCCAAAAUAUACUUUUAGUAUUGUAAAUUUAACCAAUCCCAUUUAGGUCUUUUUAAGUUUGUUUCUCCGAAUUAGUUGUUUAAUUUAUUCUCAUUAGCAUAAUUAAUCUUUAAGUUAUGAUCCAUUUACAUAAAUUUUUUUUUUGUUAGUUUCAUUAAGAAAGUGUCAUGUGGCCGUUAUGUUUACUCAUGUAGAGGUGUAAGAACAAAAUCAAUAACCUAAAAGUCCAAAUCAAACCAAUUAAAUUUGUUUGGUAUUUUUCCUUGUUUGAAUCUAAACCAAAUCAAUCAAGUUUAAUAUCUAUUGGUUCGAGUAUCGGUUUUACUUCAUUCAAAACCGAUCAUCUGAAACUCAAAUCAAACAAUUAUGUUUUAUUAUUAUAUUUUAUAUUUCAGACUAUAUUAAUAUAUUUAUCUUAAAAAAAUAUGAUGCAUAUUUACGUUUUUCUUUGUAGCUUCUAUACUUUUUUAAGUUGUAUAAAAAAUUUAGUAAUUUUAAUAAAAGUUAAUAUAUUUUAGAUUUUUUAAAAUAAAUUUUUUAAAUAUCAACUUGAUCCACUUGGACCAAACCAACCUGUUUUUCAUCAGAUUUAGUUUGGAUCAGAUUUUCAUAAGUAAAUAUUAUUAAAACAAAAAUCAAUUAUUUUUAAUGGAUUCAAAUUUAUUUUCUAUAAAAAAUCAAAUUGAUCCGUUACACCCAUAGACGUGCGUAUAACGGUGUUGAUAUGAAAAAAAUAAAUAUAUUUUUUAGUAAAUUUUUAUUAAAAAUAAAAAUUCUAAAAAAACAUAGAAUUCUUCUAAUCUAGAAAAAUGAAACUCAUUGUGGUACUUUAAGUUUAUCUCAUUUCUCAAACUAGUCCUUUAUGUUUUUUAAUUUUUAUUAAAUUGAUCCUUUAAAUUAUAUUUUGCUUGAUCUUUUAGUCAUUAUUUAUCCUCAUCAUCUUCAACUCUAAAUCUAUUAUUUCAAGUUGAGAUUUAUUUUCAUAUUUUUGGAUUUAGUUUCAUAUUUGCUUAGUUUUUUAAUUGGGGUUAUGAUGAAGAUGAUGAAGGUUGGUGAUAAAUAAGAUGAAGAGUUCAAUUUGUAUUGUUGGAAGAAGAAGAAAAAAACAAAUUCAAUUAGUUUGUGCAAAUAAAAUACCUUCUGGAUAAUAUUAAAAAUGAAUUGAACUAAAGACUCCAUAAAAACACCAAUUAAUAGAUAUUUUUAGUGGAUUUAUNNNNNNNNNNNNNNNNNNNNNNNNNNNNNNNNNNNNNNNNNNNNNNNNNNNNNNNNNNNNNNNNNNNNNNNNNNNNNNNNNNNNNNNNNNNNNNNNNNNNNNNNNNNNNNNNNNNNNNNNNNNNNNNNNNNNNNNNNNNNNNNNNNNNNNNNNNNNNNNNNNNNNNNNNNNNNNNNNNNNNNNNNNNNNNNNNNNNNNNNNNNNNNNNNNNNUAUAUAUAUAUAUAUAUAUAUAUAAUUAUACUAUAAAUCAAGCUCAUUUCUCCAUAAUAAUUAUUAAAUGCAACUAAGAUCAAGAAAUGCAAAAACUACAACUAUUGAUUUAAUUAGAUAUUAAAUUUAUAUUAUUUUUUAUAAUUCCAAAAAUACCGUUAUUUUAAGAGAGAAACUUUUAUUUCAAUAACUUACCAAUUUUUAUAAAUAAAGAUUCAACAAAAUAAAUAGGUAUGAAAAAAAAAAUUGCUAAAUAUAUAUAGUGUUUAAUUAGCUGAUUCGAGAAAUAACGAGCCAUCAAAAAGCAUAUUGAGCCAUUGAAAGGUUACGAGGUAAGUAAUUUUUUUAAACUUUGACAAUAUGCUGGCUAAGUUGUUUGAUAAUUUCUUUAAUCAUAAACAUAAUUCUAGAUUUUUGUAACAACAUAAUAUUCAUAUAUAAUCAAUAAAAAAUAGUUUUUUAUAGGCUAAAAUAUACUUUCAAUGUUUUAAGUUUAACCAGUCCCAUUUAGGUCUUUUUAAGUUUGUUUCUCUGAAUUAGUCAUUUAAUUUAUAUCUCAUUAGCAUAGUUAAUCUUUAAGUUAUGAUCCAUUUACAUAAAUAUUGUUUUUUUUUAGUUUUGUUAAGAAAAUAUCAUGGGGUCGUUAUUAUACUUACUCCUGUAGAGGUGUAAGAACAAAAUCAAUGAUCCAAAAGUCCAAACCAGACCAAUUAAAUUAAUUAAUUUGGUAUUUUUUUUUGUUUGAAUCUAAACCAAAUCAAUCACGUUUAAUAUCUAUUGGUUCGAGUAUCGGUUUUACAUCAUUUAAAAUUGAUCACCUGAAACUCAAAUCAAACAUUAUGUUUUAUUAUUAUAUCUUAUAUUUCACACUAUAUUAAUAUACUUAGCUUAAAAAAUAUGGGGCAUAUUUACCUUUUUCAUCGUAGCUUCUAUAUUUUUUUUAAAUUGUAUAAAAAAUCUAGUAUUUAAAUAAAAACUAAUAUAUUUUAGAUUUUUUAAAAUAAAAUUUUUAAAUAUCAAUUUGAUCGACUCGAACCAAACCAACCCGGUUUUCAUCAGAUUUAGUUUGGUUCAGAUUUUCGUAAGUAAAUAUUAUCAAAACCAAAAUCAAUUAUUUUUCAUGGUUUCAGAUUUAUUUUCUAUCAAAAACCAAACCAAUCUGUUACACCCAUAGACGUGUGCAUAAUAGUGUUGAUAUGACAAAAAUAAAUAUAUUUUUUAAUUAAUUUUUAUUAAAAAUAAAAAUUCUAAAAAAACAUAGAAUUCUUCUGACCGAGAAAAAUAAAAUUCAUUGUGGUACUUUAUGUUUGUCUCAUUUCUCAAACAAGUCCUUUGUGUUUUUUAAUUUUAUUAAAUUUGUCCUUUAAAUUGUAUUUCGUUUGAUCUCUUAGUUAUUAGUUCUCCUCAUCAUCUUCAACUCUAAAUCUAUUAUUCUAAGUUGAGAUUCAUUUUCAAAUUUUUGGAUUUAAUUUCAUAUUUGCUUAGUUUUUUAAUUGGAAGUUUUUGGGUUAUUUUUUAAGUUUAUGAUGAAGAUGAUGGAGGUUGAUAAUAAAUAAGAUGAAGAGUUCAAUUUGUGUUGUUGGAAGAAGAAAAAACAUGUAGUUUGAAACCCUAAACCUCUACUUGAAAUCCAUAAAAACAAACGACUCCAUAAAAAUUGAAUAUUAAAAAUGAAUUGAACUAAAGACUCCAUAAAAACACCUAUUAAUAGAGAUUUUUAAUGGAUUAAUAUUGGGUUUCUCUUUUCUAACAAUAACACAUUUUUUAAUUCUUAUUGGAAUGAAUAAUUUUUUGUUUUUGGUUUUCUCUAAUUCACAUAGUCAACGUUUUGAAUUUUUUUAUUAACAUUACAAAUUUUAAAUUUUAGGUUUUUUAAAGAUGUAGUAGAAAAGAUGGUGAAAAGGAGGAUGAUAAAGAGAAUUUGGGCGAAAAUUAAGUUAAACUUAAAACACCAUAUAAGUAUUUUAGUCAAAAUUUAAAGGACCAAUAUAAGAAUUAUUUAUUUUCAUGAUUUAUUACGUCAGUACCGUUACGUGGACGUCAAUAUUGUAAUGAUCACAUGACAUUUUUUUAGCAAAAAUGUUAAAAAGCGGUCACUACUAGAAAAUCUUGUUUUAGCUGUCAUAUUUAGCGUCGACCCCCAACUCCGACGCUAGUUAGUGUUGAUCAAGCUCACGCUAGUUUGAUAAAUUAUUUUUGAUUUUUAAAAUUUUUAACGUCGGUGUGUCCGACGCCAAUUAAAAAAUAUAGCAGACGUUUGUUUCUUUUUUAUUUGUCACCAUUGUAGCGUUGGGGUAGCCGACGCUACAUUAUCUGAUUUGUAAAAUUAAAUUUUUUAAUUUUAUUUAAAAUAUUAAAAUUAUUUUUUCUUAUUAUCCCUCACCACCCCCUUUUCCAUAUCCCUCGCUUCAUUAAUUGUCACUCUCACCCUCUCUCCGCCGCCUCUCUAUUUCCCUCGCCUCACACUCAUUCUCGCGGCCUCACCUUCACUCUCGUCUCUGUGCCUCACUCUCACUCUCGUCUUUCUCAUUUUGUCUUCUCUUCUCAAUUCCACUCUCGUUCCUCUCUCAUCAAUGAAAACACUCUUACUACCUCGUCUCCUCCUUCUCCUUCUUCCUAUCCCUGGUGGAGAUCCAUGGCUGCUUUCACCAUAACGUAACUAUCUGUCUCUCACUCUUAAUUUUUCAUAAUCACUAUACUAUCUAUUUAUUCUAUUAUUUUUUUUAUUAGGCUUUGGUUUGAAAUCAACUAGGUUUUUGAGGUAAUGAUUUUGUUUAUUUAUAUGCAUUGAGUUUACAAACAUGUUUUACACUUCAUCGAUACAUUGGAAAUAGGCUUUGAGAAUUGAUGUUAUGAUGUUUUAAGACAGUGAAAUAUGACUGGAUAUCAUGUUUUAUAUCAAGGUGAGUUUUAAGAAACAAUUGAUGUUUUUUUUUACCUAGAACUAGAAUUGUAUAUAUGUAAAAGGUGGUAGAAUGAGAUUAAGUAAUUUUAAGUUUUAGCUGAUGAUUCUCAUUAUUGUCAAAUUGGGUGCUUGUGUAGCUUUGUCCACUAUUGAAAGGAGAAUUUAGAUUAGUAUCUAUUUCUAAUUCUAACAAAAAUAUUGAAGGGGAACUUUAGGCAUGAGGUAUGCUUCUGCAAUUUUGUGGUUGUUCAGUUAUGCACAUAUUUAAUAAUUGUGUUUUGUGUUGCAGAAUAUGAUCACUGGAGCUGCCCAAAUGGAUGGCGGUAUCCUUGUUGUAUCUGCACCUGAUGGACCAAUGCCUCAAACCAAGGAACACAUUCUUCUUGCUUGCCAAGUAGAUAUUCUAUUAAAGUGGCUUGUUAGCAAUCGAAGCUAAUUUUUAGUUCUGCAGUUACUUCCUUGCUUCCACAUCAACACAUAUUUUAUCUUUACAUGAAUUGUGCAGGUUGGUGUGCCAUCUCUUGUGUGUUUUUUAAAUAAAGUUGAUGUCGUCGAUGAUCCAGAGUUGUUAGAGCUUGUAGAAAUGGAGCUCCACGCCCUCCUUUUGCCCUAUUCAUCAUAAGAAUACACCUGCCUAACUUUCUGAAGUCCUCCUCAUGUUUGUUAAAAUUUGAACUGGAUUUAUGUUCGUUAUGUAUCUGAUAGAGCUUUUGAGCUUCUUCAAGUUCCCUGGAGAUGAAAUCCCUAUCAUUAGAGAUUGUGCAUUGUCUGCUCUACAAGGUACAAAUGAAGAGAUUGGAAGAAAGGCCAUUCUAAAAUUAAUGGAUGCUGUUGAUGAAUACAUUCCCGACCCUGUUAGCCAGCUUGACAAGCCUUUCUUGAUGCCCAUUGAAGAUGUAUUCUCAAUUCAGGUAAAAGGCAUGCAAUUGUGCAUUCUUUUCUAUUAUCUUACUUUUAUUUGAAGAGUGCCAACUUAUUGAAAUAAAGAUGAGCUAGGUUAUAUACAAUCUUACAAUAUUUAUUAGUCUUAAGGUAUUUUUAAUCAUUCACUAUUAAGCCUUGCUAUUAACAUCGACACAACAGUGUGGCGUCUAUCGAAUUUCAAUUGGAUAUGAUACUUCAAACAUAUUGUUGUCUCAAUUUUUUGUUCUAUUUUUUAAGAAAACAAUAGAAUAUCAAAGUAUCACAAGCUGCAUUAGUUCAUCUUGUAUGUUUCAAAGCAAGAACGUCACGUCCGCUGCUUUGUAUCUAAUUUGCUCCUAUAUAUUUUAUUUGCUAUUAGUGGUGAUUAGUAUUUUGUUCUUAGAUGGACAUUGGUCAAUUUUUAUUUAUCGGAUUUUUAAUAAAUUCCUUGCAUUGUAAUGGUAGUUCCUAAAACUAAGUUUUCCCUGGUAGGGUGGUCCUCUGAAAACAACAUUAGCUGGAGUUGAGAUGUUCAAGAAGAUUCUGGGUCAAGGACAAGUUACUGUUAUCUUCAUCUUAAGGGCUAUUUUUAUAACAUAUUAAACUAAUAUGGAUUUUUACAUAUCUUAGGCUGGUUAUAAUGUUGGUCUUCUUCUUCGUGGUUUUAAACGUGAAGACAUUCAACGUGGUCAAGUUAGAAUCAAUGAAUAAGUUUUUCCUCCACUACUAGAAAUCAACGAUUUACCUGCGGAAUGUCCUGCAGAUUUAAGCUAAACAUCUGCAGGAACACACGUUACCUACGAAUUUAUUGACGGAUUCAUAUCCCCACAUAAAACCUUCCUGGAUAAUUAUUACCCGAUGAUUUUUUAAUCUCCAGGGAAACUACCUGCGGCUUUAUCCGCAGGAAAAGUAAAUAAAUUCCGCAACAAUUGCUGAGUAAACUUAAGGCAUUUUCUUACGGUUUUUCACACAGAAUUAUCUGUAGUACUAUUCCUUCAAAUUUGUGUCGCUUGAAAAUCCGCAGGUAUAUAUCCAAAUACACCAAAAUACCUUUCGUAUGAAUAUCCAAAUACCUUUCCUAUGAAUAUCCGCAGGUGAUUUCGCAUCAAAAUUAUUUUUAGAGAAAAAUCCACAUAAUAUUUGCUAAAAUUUCCACUGUAAAUUAGUUUUUCUGAUUUUUUAUUUAUAUAAAAAUUUCAACUAAAAAUAUAUGAAAACAUUAUUAUAAAUAUAUUUUUUAAAUAUUUAAUAUUAGUCUUUAAUUUAAAUACCAUUGCAAUACUGUAAAACAAAACUUAUAUUAUGUUAACAAAUCAAAAUUAAAUAUUAAUUAAAGAAUAAUUCAAGUAUUGUGAUACUUCUAAACAAGAUUUAUAACAUGUUCACAAAUCGUAAUUAAGUAUUAAUUAAAGCAUGAUUCCAAUAAAAAAACUAAGUAUAAUCAAGUACAUGAUACAACCAAAUUAACAAAAUAAAAGACAAAUACAUCACUACCAAUAUCUUUAUCCCCACUAUCUUCAUUAACUUGGACGAGAAGAAGAUCCAAAAAUUUCUAAAUGUUGCAUGAGAAAGGUGAAACUUUUGUUGGUCUCGACCAUCUCUUUUUUUUGUCAUGGUUUUGGUCGCAAUAAAAUUGGACAAUGUUGAUUACAGUAUCUACACAGUUUUUAUACCUUUUCAGUCCCUAAAACUAAAAAUAAAAAUUAUAGUCCUAGGUUCUCUUGUCAACACAUGCCUGCUUCAAAAGAAAUUGGACAAGCUGUUGUGUCACAGUGAAGAUAUCAAUAUCAGAAACUUUCUCAUGUAGCCAUAUAUAUCAAAAGCAGCAAAAUCGUCAAUCUAAAUGUUGUUCUUAAGUUAAUCAAUCUCAUUGAACCUAUAUUUCUAUUUUAGAAUAAAGCCAAAGAUAUGACAAGACACCACAACCCAAAAUAGUUUCACCACCACUAUCAUAUAUGUAAGGUAUAAAAAUUGGAUAACUUAUGUUAGGGGACAAUGAGACAUUCAUGCAUACACAUAUAUGGAUUUAAGAAGACAACAGUUUAAAUUAGUUUACCCCAUGUUUGUAUUUGGCAGAUCUGGAAGCCAGUUUAUUGAAAAACUGCAUUAAUUGAAACAGGGCUUUCCUUCUCAUAUCGCAAAGAAUAUAGCAAGACCAAACGUAGUCGGUCCAAAUGUUGGGAGCUACCAUGCAACACACGUUUACCUCGACUGCCGCGUAUAUGUGUCUCGGGUUGAGUUGAGUUGAUAUAUGAGGACAUGGCCAAUUUGAAUUGUUCGUCCCCCGAGAUGGUGACAUAGUAUCAAGCCUUUUAACCAAGUACUUCAGAGUUAGAAUGGUACCACAUUGUGAAGUAGAGUCUAAGCUCAUGCAUAGCAUUGCAUUUUCUUGUGAUUGUUUUGUUGUGAUUAAUAUGUAUUGUGUGCGAUGAUAAUUUCUGCGAUGAUUUGAUCUUACAGUGAAGUGUAUUGAUUUUUCUUGAUUUUGACUAUAUAAUGUGAUGUUUUUCCUUGAACAAUGUUUGUGUAAUGAUACGGUUCAUUGAUGAUUAAUUGCGUGUUCCUCUUAUUUAUAUUAUACUAUCAAUAUGAUUUCAAAACUCACCUCCUUCGUUGUUUGUUUGUGUUUGACUGGCUUGGCCCUGCGUUUGCGAAAUACCAGUUAUUACAGGUUAAUGAGUCUUGAAGUUCAAGUUUUGGAGAAACUCCGCUCUGAUAGGUGAUACCGGAAAUUAAGAGUUGUAAUGUGUAUUUUACUUAUGUUAUUACAAAUGACUUUUUAUAUGAAAAACUUAGUACGAGUAAGUCUUGCGAAUUAUAUCAAGAAAUUCUAGUUAAAUCAAGUCCAUUGACAUUGCACUGUUUUGAUUAAGGAACAAAGUUGAAUUGUUCCAUGUGUAUUUAGAGAAGCAUGAUAUCUUAAACUAGAUAUAAAAGUUUUUAUUAUAUUUAACGGAUUUUCUUUAUCCGCUGCGAGUUUUCUUCAAAUAAUUUAUACUAAAUUAUUAUAAAUGUUAUUUUUGAGUUUACGGUGUCACAACGAGUAGUAACAAAGACAAUUGCAUCAAUAUAUAAUCAAUAAUUUGAUUAAAAAAAUAUAUAACUAUUUCACUUUUAAAUACUCUUACUCUAUAUACUAAUUCCCAAUAAAGAGAACACUUGAAACACAAACAAUUUGAUAUUUAGAUAAUCGUAUACACCAUCACAUAAUUAGUCCAAAAAUUAGCAUCAAGAUUUGUUCAUCUCAUAACUCAAACGAUGAUUCUUCACACAUGUUCCAAAUUGAUCACGACUAAAUUUUCUUUUGAGUUAAUCUUCAUCAUUUAAAAGAUACAACAAACUAAAGGAAAUAUUUUCCAUAUAGCGAAAUAUUUAUUUACCAAAAGAUUAGCUAUCAAAUCAAAUUGAAUUAGGUAGUGCAUAAACCACUUUAAAGGUUACACGUAAUUCUAAAAAUUGAUUUCUACACUUAAAUUAUUAUAAAAUGUAUCACUAAUCAUUUAGCACAAAAAAAAAUCAUUGAGAAUUCAAAGUUUUUUUUCCUUAAACUAUUUUUCAAUAAAUCACGUCUAAAUAAAAAAAACAAAAAUAAUAAAUUACGUGUAUUUUAAAAAUCUAUAAGAUUUUUAAAAUUUCACUUGUACUUUAAUCAUCAAAAACACAUUUUUAUAUAAAUAAUCACUAUGAAAUAAUUAUUUUCAACUUAUCUUUUGAAAGAAAAUGUAAAUUAUAUAUAUAGAUAGAUAGGAAAUUUUUCAAUUAAUUAACACAUCUGAAAUAGUUCCAAUUUCUUUUCUCAAUACUUACAAAAAAAAAAUCAUAUACUUAUCUACAUUAAAGUAGUUGUGCACAUGACACAAAUCAUAAGACAUAUUUGGUUAUGAUAACACUAAUUGACAAAUCUACAAAAUAACAACUUCCUCUCACAUCAAGUACUCAAUAGGCGUAUAGAUACAUCUCGAGUUUCUAUCAAGCCAUAAAAUUGGUCUAAAACAAAACACACCAUCAAUUUUAAAGAUUUUAUAGGUCUAUUUUAAUCUUAAAAAUUAGAUCUCUAAUAAAAAAAAUGCAAUUUUAUAAUUAAAAAAAUAGAUAAAAUAAAUUUUAAUCUCUAUACACAUAUCAAUCUACAUGAUACACUUUACACAUACCAAUCUACAUGAUGCAUACCAUUUUGUUAGGUUAAUUCAUGUAACAAGAAAAAAUAUAUAAACAACACAACAUCUUCUCAUAUUAAACUCAAAUAUACAUUUUGACAAUGAUAACACAAAAACUACAUUUCUACUCAUAAAAUAAAUCGAUUAUCUAAAAUUUAGAUAAUUUUCCAAAAGGAGUUUAACUAUUGAGAUAAUUGUUUUAAAAUCUUUGUUUUUCUUUUUCUUUUCUUUUUCAAUUAAUAGACAUUUUAUCAUUUUACUUUUUUUAUUAACACAAUUAUAAAUCUCUAAUGAAUUCUUCAAGCCUAAACAUCAAGUUAAACUCUAAUGAGUUCACAAAAUCAUGAUCAAAAAAUCAAUUAUUUCAAAUAAAUAUUCCGACACUCUCAAGAUCCAAUAUUUACAUGAGGCCCCUCUAAACCAUAUAAACAACAAAUCUUUUUUCUUCUUCUUAAAAAUAACAUGUAAUAAAAUAUGGUGUAAAUUUUCAGCUAUUUUAAACGUUAAAUAAAAUCAAGAGUAUAGAAUUAUUAUUAUUUUAUAAAUCAUCAAAAAUCCAACUCAAUGUAAUUUCUUUAAAAUAAUCAAAAGUAAUUCAAAUAAAAGUUAUUUUCAUUCUACAAAAUAAGCCAAUUUUAACUCCCUCAUCGAUUUUUUUUUUUUUAAUUCUAAAAAUUCACAACAACGUUCUAAAUUAAUUUAUCAAAAUUUUUAUAAUCAUGCUAUGAUCCCAAAAGGCAAGAUCUAUAAUCGAUAAUUAAUAUUACCCGAUUAAAUUAAUAAUUUCAAUAUAUAGCUAGUCAAUAAAAAAAAUUAUUUCUAAUUACCACUCUAACAAAAACAAAUAAUCGAGGUUCGAAACUCAAACCACAAGUCCAAUCAAAAGGUUUGUAUUGUCAACAAUUCAGGUUAUAUUUAGACAUUUAGAUAGAAAUUAAGAAUGUGCAUUACAAUCAGAAUAAACAAGAAAUAAAUGGUUAAUUAGUAACUUCAAAAAUAUUAAAAGUAUACAAAAGUAUAUUGUGCAUAAUACAAUAAUAUAACGGGAAAAAAUUAUGAUAUUGAAAAUUAUUAAUACAUAACAAAACACAACCGACACGACUAACAUUCGACUAAUGAAUCAACACUCGUUCUCAUUGGACAUACAUGCUCUCAUACCACUAAUGUGACACCCUAAACCCCAAAAUAAUAUAUAAUAAUUUUUAGUAGAUUUUUUUUUUUGUUUUUGAUAACAAAAACAAUCACAAGAAAAUGCAAUGUUAUGCAUGAGCUUAAACUCUACUUCACAAAGUGGUACCAUUUUAACUCUGAAGUACUUGGUUAGGAGGCUUGAUACCAUGACACUAUCCCGGUGGACGGACAAUUCAAAUUGGUCCUAUCCUCGUAGAUCCCAUCUGUUAAGACAAACUCUCAAAUUAAAGUUUUGAUGAAAAUAAACAAAGGUUAAUUAAGAAUGUUAAUUAUGAUUUUAAAAUGUUAUGUUAAUUUAACUUGUGCUUUUGAGUUAAUUAAUUCAAAGAUAGGAAUCAAGCAAAACAAAAAAAUCAGAUAAAAACUGAACAAUAAAGAAACAAGAAUAUUCUAGACAGGGGCGGAGCUUCCUUGGGACUAAGGGGGGCCGUGGCCACCCAAAAAAAAAAAUUUAUAGGUACAAUGACUAAAAUGUCCAUUUUAAAAUUAAAAAAUUACAAGCAUACCUAAACUUAAUUCAGUUUUAUCUUUCUUCCUCUCUCUUCCAUCCAGCCUUCCUCUCUCCCUCUCUCCCUUUUGCUUACAAGUUCCAGCCUUCUUCUCUCCCUCCUCCAUAAUCAGAUUCAUGAAUCAAGACAAAUGUGCUGUCGUCUCUCUACGACAAUCGCUCGUCUGCUCGCUCACGAAAUCGCUCGCUGAGGCCAAUUGUUCGUCUGCCUGACUGCCUCUGUCCGUGGCCAUUCGUCGCUGCCUCUCUACUCGCCGCAACCUCAUCAAUCAUCUGUCUCUAGAUCUCGUUGCUGCUUUGUUCAAAAUGUUCGAAUUUCUAUUUUGUUAUUGCUGAUUUUUGUUAGUUAGUGUUGAUUUUUGUUAGGUUUGAUUUUUGUUAGCAUAAAAUUUAAAGCUUAUAUUGUUAUUGUUGAGUUUAGAGUUUUGAUUUGGAGUUUGAAAUUUUGAUUUGGAGUUUUAAUUAGUUGAUUUUUUUUUUAGAGUUUUUGUGUUGCACAUAAGGUGUUUGAGUUUAUGUCAAUAUAAAGUGUUUGAGUUUUUUUUUGUCGCACAUAAGGUGUUUGAUUUUAUGUGUUUGAGUUUUUUUUUUUUUUGCAUACAAGGUGUAUGAGUUUUGUUGCAUUUUUGUUUGAGUUUUUUUUUGUCUAUAUAAAGUGUUUUAUUUUUUUUGUUGAAUAUAAAAUGUUUUAUGUUUAUUGAAUUGAUUGAUUUAGAUAAGUUUGUGAGAACGAAGAAGAGUAGAAGAAUUGAUUCUUUUUUCAUGAAGAAAACUUGUGAGAGUGAAUUAUGUCGGCCACCCCAAACUUUUCAGUCAAGCUCCGCCACUGAUUCUAGAUAAAACAGAGAAUGUUCUCCAAGAUCAAGACUGAUCAUCACAGCCUCAAGAUUAAUCAAUCUGCACUAGUUCAUAAAAGAUUCUGCCUCUAAAUUUCAUGCUAAUGUUAUCAGUACUUGGCAAGGAACAAGUAUGAUUCAUUCUAGUCAAAGAAGGCAUUCGAAUCACUAAGAUAAAAACUCAUGAAUCCAAAAAGAUAAAACAAGUAUGAAACUUAUCCAACUUAAUUGUCAAGAAAGUUAAUCAAUUUUGGUAUGUACAAAAUCAUCCAGAUUGAUCGGGAAGUCGUCCAGAAUAAUCAAACAUUGAACCUCAAGAUUGAUCAUCAAUCUCCUGAAAGUACAAGACUGACAAUCUAGAUCGAUUAUCAAUCUCCAUAAUUCUGCAGAAGCUCGGUAUCAAUCUCCUUAUAUCUGUAGAAGUUCAUCAUCAUUCUCCAAAUUGAUUUGAAUAGAAUCGAGUUUCCAGAUCAAAGAUUUAACAUCAACAAAUUUAUGUGAAGCAUAAAGGAUCAUUAAACACAGGAUAAGACUGAUCAUGAACGAAUAAACCAUCCCAGUCAAACAUAUUUUAAAAAGUAUUCAAAAGCUGAAUAUUUUUAUUCACAUAUAUUAGUUCUCUUAUCUCCUUAUUUAUUAAGUCUGAUUGAUUACUUGAAUUAAAACAUAAAUUGAAUUUUUGUUUUCAAGCUAACCAAUAACGUUCUCCGUUUUUUGUUUUCUUAACCAAGAUCAUUCCUAAGUAAAAUCCUUAAGUUUUUCAGGAAUUUUGAAAUAGAAACAUUUACAAUUCAAACCCAAUUCUUUGUAAAUCGACAUUACUACUUCACCCUCAACUCCAUGCGAGUCACAUAUAUGCAAAAGUAGAGGUAAAUGUGUGUUACAUGGUAGCUGUCGACAUUUGGAGUGCUACCUCCUACUCACCUAGGAAUUCUCCAUCCGAAUAUCUCCAAUGUCUAACAAUUUUUCCUUAAGGCUCAACAGCAGACUUCCAUGAUCAGGCGCAUUCAGUUGUACUUCCUCGAAAUCACUAGGCUUAUUAGACCCUACUUAUAUUAUGAUAAAAUAAUCUCCACAUCCGAGUGCCAUAAGUAUCCGACUUCAACUUCAACGAAAAAUGUAAAUGAGUAGUUCUUCUUGUAAGUUUCGACAAGAGAAAUCCAAAAAUAAUACUAUUUUUUUGAGACGACAAACGUAGUGAUCAGAUUUGGCCAAAAAUAGUUCGCCCAACGAAAGAAACGCAUUUGUUUUUAUGAAACGGAGCCACGAUUGAUAAAAUUGGCACCAAAAAUGGAUUUAGUGGCCAAUUUUGUGUGGACAGAGAUUGUGAUCGAUUCAAGCAACAAAGAAUUGGUGGAAACGAAAUUGAGAGAAAAAUUGUUUCGCGGCCUUUAGUCUGACUUUCAAUUUAUAUUUUUUUAAUUGCAAUAUGAGUGGUGUAGAGAGAAAACGUAGAGAUAUAAGAAUAAAACUGUAAGUCCCAACACAGAAUAGUAAAGUCUGAGGCAGCAGGUGUAGGAAAUAAAAAACCAACCAAUAAUAGCUCAAAUUAAUAUGCAGAAGUAAAAAAAUAAGGGUGUAAACAGUCGUCUGGUCCAAAAUUCAUUUUCUAGUAUUUCUAAAAGUCUUUAAUAAAUAAUUUAUUUUACUUAUCCACGCUAUAAACUUUUUCUUCAAAACACUCAUUCUAACAUAAUAUUAUUUUUCCUUAAUAUAGAUAAAUCUAAUUUUAGUCAAAACUCUCAUACUCAAAAUAGUAACUAUAAUUAUUACUAUAAUAUUUGUUUCAAAAUAAUAAUAUAAAAAUACAACAUCUUUAUAGAUUAUUCGAAAUAAUAAAAUAAAUAAAUAUAACAUCAGCGAUUUAUAUUAAUUACUAAAUCAAAAUGAAUAUGUAAAAAAUCAUCAUACCGUAAAAACUAUAUAGAAAUAAAGAAAAUCAAUAUCAAUAUUACUAAAAUACUAUUAUACUUUAAAAUGUGUACACUAAAAUACUAUUAUUUUUAGUAAAAUAUAUAAAAUAUAAAAAUAUAAUAUUUGAUAUUUAUAUCACUCAUUUAGUCUAACAUGUACAAGAUUAAAACAUGAUAUAAAGAAAAUUAAUCCUAAAUUUAAUUAACAUAUAUUAUAAAAUAAUUUUAACAUCAGUUUAAAUAUUUGAAAUUAUAUUUCAUUAAUAAAAUAAUUUAUUAUAAAAUUUGGAGUGUUAAAAUACUUUUAUCGUCUCUUCAACCAAGAAUUAUUCACAUUGAUCCCUAAAAGAAGACGCUUUUAAAAAUUAACCUUCAAAGUUCAUAAGACUAGACUUUAUUUCCCUCACAUUGACCCACAAUUUAACCUUGACAAUCAACGCCUAAUGCUCCCAUAGCACCAAGAGUCUUAAAUUGAACACAUUCCACAUAAUAACAUACUAACAUUGAGAUUUAGUAUAGAAAUAAAAAAUUAUAAUAACGUACUAAUAUCGAAAUAUUUUAUAAAAGUUUAGGGGACCAUUCGGUCCUUGAAUUCUUUGUUUCGUUUAUUUGGUUGAAUAACAUUAUUUUUUUUUGCAAAUUCAAAUAUAUUUUUUUUGGACAAAUUUAAAUGGUUUAUUCUUUGACCUUCAUAAAUUUAAAUGGUUUAGUUCUUGAGAGAAUCAUUUUAUUUCGUGCGAUGAGAUAUUUGUUUUGACAUAUUUCUACUCUUUGUUCAUUUAUGAUCAUAAAUUUGAAUUCUCAUUUCUUAGAUUCAGUUUUAAAAAGUUGUUUAUCUAAUGGGUAUAGUAAAUCUAAUAUUUAUUGAAAGAAAAUGAUCAUGAAUUGCAUUAUUUUUAAUAAAAACUAUUGUAAAAAAUUAAAAUUAUUAAUAAUGAUUCAAGAUGGAUUUUCAAUUUGACAUUUGUUGAUAAAAAAUAAUUAAUUAGUUGUCCAUAAAUUAUAAAUAAAGGAACUAAAUGAGAUUAAAGAAGCGAAUCUGUUAUAAAAAUAAAAAUAAAAAUGAUCACGUACAUAUGUUUACAUAAACAGUUGUACAUGGUAUGUAAAACAUCAAUUUUUUUUUAAAGGUAUACAACAUCAAUUAUUAUUAUCAUUCAUUCACCCAAUCAUGCAAUGAUUAUAGUGUAUGCUUUAUUUAUAUUUUAUUUUUACAACUAAUAAUGCAUUGGCCUUCUCCCUGACCCAUACCCUUUCUCUUUAUUUUUUUUCUUUCAUUUUAUUUUCCAUUGCUAUUGCUAUUGCCCUCGACCCAUACCCUUUUCCUUUCUUUCCUUCUGCUUUGCUUCCUUUGCCAAAGCUAUUUCCUUCUGCUUUGCUUCCUUUUCCAAAGCUCUUGCCUUCUGCUUUGCUUCCCUUUCCUUUUGCUUUGCCAAAACUAUUUCCUUCUGCUUUGCUUCCUUUGCCAAAACUCUUUCCUUCUGCUUUGCUUCCCUUUCCUUCUGCUUUGCCAAAGCUCUUUCCUUCUGCUUUGCUUCCUUUGCCAAAGCUUUUUCCUUCUGCUUUGCUUCCUUUGCCAAAGCUCUUUCCUUCUACUUUGCUUCCAUUUUCUUCUUCUUGCAAAUGAUGUCAGACAAUGCACACAUUAUAUCCGUUAGACUAUCCAAUACUAAUCUCCUUUCUUUCUGUGCCCUUGCUAUAUCAGCUUUUCUCGUUGCUUGUUCCCUUUUGCGUUCCAUGUGUAAUCUCCUUGCUUCAUUACUAAAAUCUAUAUAAAAUUGUGUGUUUUCCCUUUGCUUUGCUUUCUUUUCCUUCAGCUUUGCUUCCUUUGCCAAAGCUCUUUCCUUCUGCUUUGCUUCCUUUGCCAAAGCUAUUUCCUUCAGCUUUGCUUCCUUUGCCAAAGCUCUUUCCUUCUGCUUUGCUUCCUUUACCAAAGCUAUUUCCUUCUGCUUUGCUUCCCUUUCCUUCUGCUUUGCUUCCCUUUUCUUCUUCUUUGCUUCCUUUUCCAUCAUCCUUUCUUCCUUUGUUUUAUUUCCCGCACCAAUGGGCUUAUUUUGAUCAAAAGAUUCUAUAUCUAUGAGUUUUCGCCCACCAUCAAGCUUAUCUACCAAAACAUUUUUCUUUGACUAUUUUGUAUAUUGUUUACCUACUUUUAAUGUCUGUGUUGCCACAACAGAUAAAAGAAAUAGUGCACAAAGGAAACACAGAUUAAAAGCUUUGAUUUUCAUCAUUGCUACAAUUUCUAAGAAUUUAAUUGUUGUGAAACAUAUGAAUAUAUUCGGCAAGAUAAAUAGGUAUGAAAAUCAAAAGUAGAUUUAUUAAAUAAUAUAUUAUUUAAUUGGCUUUCGAGAAUAUUGAGCCAUUGAAGGGUUAUUGAGGUAGGUAAAGUGUUUAAACUUUGACAACUACGAGGUUGCUUGAUAAUUUCUUUAAUAAUAAACAUAAUUCUAGACUUUUGGUAAACAUAAUUAUCAUACGUUGUCAAUAAAAAAUAGUUAUUGACACGAUAAAAAAAAUUACUCUUUUAAUUCUAGACUUUUGGUAAACAUAAUUAUCAUACGUUGUCUAUAGGUUUUAUUUAUUUAUUUUUGAUUUAGUCAUUAAUUUUAUCUCAUUAGCCACAUUAAUUUUUAAGUUAUAAUCCACUUACGUAAAUUUUUUAUAAAUUCCUUUAAAAAAGUAUAAUGUGGCAAAUUAAAUUGAAGCCAUGAUUGAUAAAAUUGAGUUAAAAGUUUCAAAAAUGUUAUCUUUUAAGUUAUAAGUUCUAAUGAAAAUGAGUCAUGAUCGAUAAAAUUGAAACCAAAAAUAGAUUCGGUGGCCGAUUUUGUGUGGGACAGUGGUUGAGAUCGAUUCAAAUGUAAAAGAAUUGCUGGUAGUGAAUUUGAGAGAAAAAAGGUUUGCUGCAAUUUGGUUGCCAUUAAUCUGAUUUUCAAUUUUUAUUCUUUUAAUCGCAGAAGGAGGGGUUGCAGAUAGCAGAUGUAUAGGAAAAAAAGUAAAACUGUAAGACCCAACACAGGAUAGUAAAGUCUGAGGCAGAAAUAAGAGUGUAAUGAGCAACUCGCAGCAGAGCAUUCUACCCUGCACCUCCACAUCUAAACCUGUCACCCCAAACCAAGGUGAAAAAUACAAUUUUGCCCUUCAACAUUUUUAAUUUUUAAUUUUUUCACCGCUCUUUCUAGAAUGUUCGAAAGUUUCAACAUGUCAAUUUCUAAAAUUUUCGAAACUUUAGAACAAUUCGAAACUUUCGAAAUAGAAUUCAAAAAUUUCUGAAACUUUCAAACAAUUCAAAACUUUUCAAAUUUUCCAAACUUGGAAACUUUCGAAAUUUUCAAAAUUUGGAAACUUUCGAAAAUUUUCAAAUUUGGAAACAUUCGAAACAUUCUUGAUUCGGAAACUUACAAAACAUUCUAAAUUUUCGAAACAUAAUCCUUAUUUUGAAAAUUUUCAAAUAUGGAAACUUUCAAAAUUUUAAAAAUGUAAUCCUUAUUUCACAAAUUUUAAAAUUCGAAAAUUUCAAAAUUUGAAACUUCCGAAUCUAUCAAUUUUGAAACUUAUGAUAAAUAGUUAAAAGGGUAAAAUUGUAUUUCCAUUUGUCUUGAGGGGUGGCAAGUUUAGGUAUGGAGGUGCAGGGUAGAAUUGUCCUUCGCAGCAACUGUAGGAAAUAAAAGUCCAACCAAUAAUAGCACAAAUUAAUAUGCAUAAGUAGAAAAUAAGGGUUUAAACAGUUAUCUGGUCUAAAAUUCAUUUUAUAGUAUUUCUAAAAGUCAUUAAUAAAUAAUUUAUUUUAUUUAUCUACGCUAGAAACGUUUUCUCCAA